This 330-nucleotide ribosomal RNA is filed under the name Ixodes hexagonus (hedgehog tick). RNAcentral's name for it is "partial 16S ribosomal RNA". The record is from RNAcentral. Lineage: Eukaryota; Metazoa; Arthropoda; Arachnida; Ixodida; Ixodidae.
UCUGCUCAAUGAUUUUUUAAAUUGCUGUGGUAUUUUGACUAUACGAAGGUAUUGAAAUAAGGCUUUAAAUGGGUGCUAAGAGAAUGGUUUAACGAUUAAUAACUUUCUUUAAUUAAUAAAUUGAAUUUAAUUUUUUUGUGAAGAAGCAAAAAUUUAAAUUAGGGACAAGAAGACCCUAUGAAUUUUUAUUAGAUUGUGAUGAGAAUUAUUUGAAAUCUAAUUUGGUUGGGGUGAUUAAAAAAGAAUAUAUAUCUUUUUGUAUUAAAGAAAUUAAUUUGUUCCGUUAUUAACGAUUAAAUGAGAAAAAUACUCUAGGGAUAACAGCGUAAA